Molecule: transfer RNA, 74 nt
Filed under: Aspergillus ruber CBS 135680
Lineage: Eukaryota; Fungi; Ascomycota; Eurotiomycetes; Eurotiales; Aspergillaceae
Description: tRNA-Met (CAT) (tRNA-Met-CAT-1 1 to 3)
Rfam family: tRNA
About the family: Transfer RNA (tRNA) molecules are approximately 80 nucleotides in length.
Source: RNAcentral
GCCUCCAUGGUCUAGUUGGUCAUGACGUGGGUCUCAUAAUCCCGAGGUCACCAGUUCGAUCCUGGUUGGGGGCA